GACGAACGCUGGCGGCGUGCUUAACACAUGCAAGUCGAACGCUGAAGCUCAGCUUGCUGGGUGGAUGAGUGGCGAACGGGUGAGUAACACGUGAGUAACCUGCCCUCUUCUUUGGGAUAACGCCCGGAAACGGGUGCUAAUACUGGAUAUUCACUGAUUCUCGCAUGGGGGUUGGUGGAAAGGUUUUUUCUGGUGGGGGAUGGGCUCGCGGCCUAUCAGCUUGUUGGUGGGGUGAUGGCCUACCAAGGCUUUGACGGGUAGCCGGCCUGAGAGGGUGACCGGUCACAUUGGGACUGAGAUACGGCCCAGACGCCGACGGGAGGCAGCAGUGGGGAAUAAUGCACAAUGGGCGAAAGCCUGAUGCAGCGACGCCGCGUGAGGGAUGGAGGCCUUCGGGUUGUAAACCUCUUUCGCUCAUGGUCAAGCCGCAGCUUUGGGUUGUGGUGAGGGUAGUGGGUAAAGAAGCGCCGGCUAACUACGUG
Molecule: ribosomal RNA, 482 nt
Filed under: uncultured bacterium
Lineage: Bacteria
Description: partial 16S ribosomal RNA
Rfam family: Bacterial small subunit ribosomal RNA
Source: RNAcentral